RNAcentral lists this non-coding RNA (302 nucleotides) under Desulfitobacterium dichloroeliminans. RNAcentral's name for it is "T-box sequence". It matches the Rfam family "T-box leader". Rfam says of the family: Uncharged tRNA acts as the effector for transcription antitermination of genes in the T-box leader family. T-boxes are found upstream of many aminoacyl-tRNA synthetase genes and some amino acid biosynthetic genes usually in Gram-positive bacteria. The record is from RNAcentral. Lineage: Bacteria; Bacillati; Bacillota; Clostridia; Eubacteriales; Desulfitobacteriaceae.
UUAAAACUGAUGACGGAACGAGUAAUACCACAUUCCUUUGCAGAGAAGCUUCGCUGGGUGAAAAGAAGCUAAGGAGUUUUGUAUGAAGGCUAUUCCCGAGGGCAAGCAAGAACCUUGACGAGGCACGCGUUAAGUGCGAUGACAGUAAACUGUCGCAAAGCGACUCAUUCUGAACAGAGGCUGCCGGCGAGGAGUUGAGAUUAGGUAUAUUGAGUAAACCUUAGAUCAGACCUCUGGCUUUUGACCUCCAACGUCCGGAUGAGUAAGCAGGGUGGUACCACGGUAAUAUGCCCGUCCCUGAU